This 497-nucleotide ribosomal RNA is filed under the name uncultured bacterium. RNAcentral's name for it is "partial 16S ribosomal RNA". It matches the Rfam family "Bacterial small subunit ribosomal RNA", at positions 28 to 507 of the family's 1533-position model. The record is from RNAcentral.
GAUGAACGCUGGCGGCGUGCCUAAUACAUGCAAGUCGAGCGAACGGACGAGGAGCUUGCUUCUCUGACGUUAGCGGCGGACGGGUGAGUAACACGUGGAUAACCUACCUAUAAGACUGGGAUAACUUCGGGAAACCGGAGCUAAUACCGGAUAAUAUUUUGAACCGCAUGGUUCAAUAGUGAAAGACGGUUUUGCUGUCACUUAUAGAUGGAUCCGCGCUGCAUUAGCUAGUUGGUAAGGUAACGGCUUACCAAGGCAACGAUGCAUAGCUGACCUGAGAGGGUGAUCGGCCACACUGGAACUGAGACACGGUCCAGACUCCUACGGGAGGCAGCAGUAGGGAAUCUUCCGCAAUGGGCGAAAGCCUGACGGAGCAACGCCGCGUGAGUGAUGAAGGUCUUCGGAUCGUAAAACUCUGUUAUUAGGGAAGAACAUAUGUGUAAGUAACUAUGCACAUCUUGACGGUACCUAAUCAGAAAGCCACGGCUAACUACGUG